Molecule: unclassified non-coding RNA, 27 nt
Filed under: Mus musculus (house mouse)
Lineage: Eukaryota; Metazoa; Chordata; Mammalia; Rodentia; Muridae
Description: oocyte_clustered_small_RNA1141
Source: RNAcentral
UAUAACAAAAUGCAGGGAUAAAACUCA